AAUGACACAUACUUAUGUGGUCAUGACUUUUCUCAACUGCAUAUUUAUGCACUGCCAAUGAUAUUAAUCAGCGGAACUUAUUGCCAUCCAUUUUGGGAGAGUAUAUCAUAUCAAUUAUGGGUACCUUUGUAAAUCCAUAAGCUCCAAGCCUCGCCUUUUAUCAUAUCAUUAUUCUCUUUCGUACCAACACCUAUUCAAUGGUGUGUACAUAAUUUAGAGAAUAGCGAGCUGAGCUAUGCCUUAAUUGCUCUUUUAUAUAUCAGAUUUUCAAGGCACAUUUUGUGCCAAGCUCUGGAUCCAGAUUGAGCAAUUAUUGAGGCAAUUGUGUUGUCGAUAACAUUUUCAUAAUUUUCUCCCAUAU
This is a long non-coding RNA of Ipomoea nil (Japanese morning glory), 361 nucleotides long. RefSeq lists it as uncharacterized. NCBI's taxonomy places the organism in Eukaryota, Viridiplantae, Streptophyta, Magnoliopsida, Solanales, Convolvulaceae. The transcript has 3 exons. The record is from RefSeq and is a predicted model, not a curated record.